RNAcentral lists this unclassified non-coding RNA (89 nucleotides) under Pseudomonas reinekei. Lineage: Bacteria; Pseudomonadati; Pseudomonadota; Gammaproteobacteria; Pseudomonadales; Pseudomonadaceae. The record is from RNAcentral.
UGUGGGAGCGAGCUUGCUCGCGAUGACGGUGUAUCAGACGCUGAUGCAGUGACUGAUAAGUCCCAAUCGCGAGCAAGCUCGCUCCCACA